GACGAACGCUGGCGGCGUGCCUAAUACAUGCAAGUAGAACGCACAGUUUAUACCGUAGCUUGCUACACCAUAGACUGUGAGUUGCGAACGGGUGAGUAACGCGUAGGUAACCUGCCUGGUAGCGGGGGAUAACUAUUGGAAACGAUAGCUAAUACCGCAUAAUAUUAAUUAUUGCAUGAUAAUUAAUUGAAAGGUGCAAUUGCACCACUACCAGAUGGACCUGCGUUGUAUUAGCUAGUAGGUGAGGUAACGGCUCACCUAGGCGACGAUACAUAGCCGACCUGAGAGGGUGAUCGGCCACACUGGGACUGAGACACGGCCCAGACUCCUACGGGAGGCAGCAGUAGGGAAUCUUCGGCAAUGGACGAAAGGCUGACCGAGCAACGCCGCGUGAGUGAAGAAGGUUUUCGGAUCGUAAAGCUCUGUUGUAAGAGAAGAACGGGUGUGAGAGUGGAAAGUUCACACUGUGACGGUAUCUUACCAGAAAGAGACGGCUAACUACGUG
Molecule: ribosomal RNA, 505 nt
Filed under: uncultured bacterium
Lineage: Bacteria
Description: partial 16S ribosomal RNA
Rfam family: Bacterial small subunit ribosomal RNA
Source: RNAcentral